Molecule: ribosomal RNA, 392 nt
Filed under: uncultured bacterium
Lineage: Bacteria
Description: bacterial SSU rRNA
Rfam family: Bacterial small subunit ribosomal RNA
Source: RNAcentral
AUUGAACGCUGGCGGCAUGCCUUACACAUGCAAGUCGAACGGCAGCACGGGAGCAAUCCUGGUGGCGAGUGGCGAACGGGUGAGUAAUAUAUCGGAACGUGCCCAGUCUGGGGGAUAACGUAGCGAAAGCUACGCUAAUACCGCAUACUAUCUAUGGAUGAAANCGGGGGAUCGCAAGACCUCGCGCGAUUGGAGCGGCCGAUAUCAGAUUAGGUAGUUGGUGAGGUAAAGGCUCACCAAGCCGACGAUCUGUAGCUGGUCUGAGAGGACGACCAGCCACACUGGGACUGAGACACGGCCCCAGACUCCUACGGAGGCAGCAGUGGGGGAAUUUUUGGGACAAUGGGCGCAAGCCUGAUCCAGCAAUGCCGCGUGCCAGGAUGAAGGCCUUC